CCCAGAUAAGAGAGGAGGUGAAGCCCAUGGGUGUCUGAAGACUGACUCUCUGAUCCAAACUACAUCAUCUGCAGCAAGGAAUUCAUAGAGAAACAAGUCUUUCCUACAUACAAGGACCACUGGGUUGGAGUCUAUAAUACUGGGGGAUGGAAAUGUAUUGAUGACCAGGCACCUAAACGCACAUUCUGGAGGACUGGUAUGCCAAGCCUGACCGUGCCAAAUCCCUGUGUCUAUGUAAUAGGUUUCUGCCGGGAUUCAAGAGGCUGUUGGGAAGACACCAACUGCAGAGUCCGAAAACGGAGCAUAUGCAAGAAGAAGCCUGACAAAAGAUGGUACACAUGAAGCCCUUGAAACUGGAUUCCACAAUCUCUCCACUAAAACAAAGACAAUGCAUUGAUUCCCUCCUUUAAAGAGUCAACUAUCCAGGUUGUGGAAUUAGGACAUUUAAGAGCUCAAGUCUUUGACAUCAGCAGUCAAAAGCACUUUGUCAAACCUGGUUCCUCCAUACUGGAAAAAAGACACUUUAUUUUGCAACCACAAAGACUUGGACCUCCAAUAAAAUAAAGUGUGGAAGA
This is a long non-coding RNA of Lacerta agilis (Sand lizard), 575 nucleotides long. RefSeq lists it as uncharacterized. The transcript has 3 exons. The record is from RefSeq and is a predicted model, not a curated record. Lineage: Eukaryota; Metazoa; Chordata; Lepidosauria; Squamata; Lacertidae.